GAAGCAAACGUGAUAGGCGCGUUUUAGGCGCGUUUUACAUUACUCGUUUUACUCCUUUACGUUGUCAAAGCUAUGUGUAAGGUGGUCAAUGUAAAACGUCGUUUUCAUCUUGUCAUUACGAAUAUUGUAAAACCAGUGAUUUUGCGUGAGUAGUGAAAGUAGCCAAACAUCGACGCUAUGCCUUAAACAUAAGAGUGAAUUCGAUUUAACUUUAUGGCGUUGUGAUUAAAAGAGUUAUUGAAGACUGAUGCCUAUUUCGAUCGUUUAAAUGGCGUUAUGAAUAUCACUAGUUUUUGUUGUAGUGGAAAACGAGUGAUCACUGUUCGAGCUCGUAACUGCAUAUAUAACCAGUUAUGGUUAAUAACGCCCAUCGCUAAUUCUGUUGUCAACCUGUCAGAUAAAAUAAAAAUGGCGUUGGGUUUAUAAAAAUCUUAGAAAAAUAGUGCUAUUUUACGUGAAACCGUGGAAUUAAAAGCGUCUUACUGGAAAAUCUAGUAAUCAUGCGAUAUUUCGACAAAUGCAGAUGUUGCCUCGAAGAUGGCGAAUUAAAAGAACUGUGGGCGGAGUAUGUUGAUGAUGGUGGGACAGAAAUCUAUGGACAAAUGUUAAACGAAUGUUUUUCCUUUUCUUGGCAAGAGUCGACCGAUUAUUCGGAGCAGAUCUGUGAGUCGUGCAUCAAACGGUUACGAGAUGCUAUGGUCUUCAGACAGGAAGCGAUGUCUGCCAAACAGAUUCUCGACGAGAUCAUCAAGCAAAACAUAGCAGAGGCGAAAUUAGACAGCAAACCAAUUAAAAUAGAGGUCCUUGAAGACUUCCAGGAGUCAGACGGUGACAAUGAGGAAAACCUGGACCAUGAACAGAUGGUUCAACAGUACAUGCAGCACGAAUACAUAGAAGAAGGAGAGACAAACGAAAGUUUAGAAGAUGAGCAAGAGAGCCAGGGUUGUGUGGACCAGGAGAGGGAGUAUGUGGACUGCUCCAGCCAGUCGGAGGGUCAGCCCGAUGUUGACAUGCAGGUGGAAUAUCUCGAGGAUGAUAGUGAAGCCCAAACGGUCCUGUCGCAGAAACGAAAAUGGCCAAAGAAGCGGAAGAAGGGUGAACGACUGAAGGUUUACAAGAACUACACAAGAACUGACCUCAUGAACGCUAUAGAGAUGGUCCUAUCCAAUAAGAUGACCAGGGCUGAGGCAGCUGCUCAAUUCAACGUGCCUGUUAAGACACUAGGGGCUAAGCUCAGAAUGAAGGAGGCGGCCGGAGAUAGUUACGAUGACCCGGAGACUAAAUCGCAAAGCUACAAAUUUUAUGAGGAAAUCCGCAUGAUACUAACUUACACCAACGCUACACCUUACAAGAGCAAGGUUAGCCGCUUCUUCUGCGCGUACUGUGGCACAGAUGGGCCCCUGUUCGAGGACCCUGUUCUCCUAAGGACACACACUCGCUCCCAACACGCCCAGGAACGUAUCAAGAACAUAGAAAUGUUCAUGAGACCUUUUCAUAUGAACGAAAUUAUUAAACUUGACAUAGAUAAACUGCAAUGCACCGUGUGUACAGUAGGUAUAGAAGAUUGGAACGCAAUGUUCACGCAUUUGCAAGAGCAACACGGCGUGACUUUAGACGCCGCGUAUACGAAAGCGAUCCCGUAUGUCUUGAAGGACGAUUUGCGCUGUGCUCUGUGCAGUGAAAAGUUCUCACAUUUUCAUCUGUUGGAUUACCAUAUGAAUGCACAUUACGGGAACUAUAUAUGUGGGGAAUGCGGUGACACGUUCUUAGCUGAGAAUAGGUUGAAGAGCCACGUUGAGACGCACAGCAAGCAACGAUUCCCAUGCAAUGAGUGCGGGAAAGUCUUCACGUUAGAAAAGUAUAGAAAGAAACACUACGAAGGCGUGCAUUUGAAGGAGCGGAAAUUCAAAUGUAGCUACUGCCCGGAAGUGUUCACAGGCGACUAUCUGAGGCACGCACACGUCCUGGCCCAGCACAAGGAGAAAAUCAAACUGAUCCAUUGUGAGUUCUGCAAGAUGACAUUCACAUGGAGACCAUACUACCUGAAGCACGUGAGACUCAACCACAGGAGGCCAGAGAGGAGGUUCAAGUGCAAGUUAUGCUCCAAGUGUUUUCACCAGAAACACGAGCUGAAGAACCACGAGGACUGGCACCAGGGCAACGGGUACACGUGCCCGGUCUGCGAUAAGAAGUUUUCAUCCAAGAGGUAUCUUCAAAAGCAUACUAUGACGCAUGGUGAUUCCACGUUUGUGGUCAUUGUCAAUAACGGUGAAGGGAAGGAGGUGAUAGAGGGUCAGUAGGUGUUGGACUGUCAGCAGGUGAUAUUACUGUCAGCAGGUGAUAUGACUAUCAGCAGGUGAUAUGACUAUCAGCAGGUGAUAUGACUGUCAGCAGUUGAUAUGACUAUCAGCAGGUGAUAUGACUGUCAGUGGGUGAUAGAUGGUCAGCAGGUUUACGGCCACCGGUAUUUACCUUUUUAAAUCUUUUAAAAAUUUUGUUUAUGACAACCCGGUAUGAGUUUUAUGUGGACGCUAUCUAACCUGAUGAAGUUAAUUUGCGGCCAGGGUGGACCAGUUGAGAUUGACGCCUCCCCCCCGCCCUUUAUUUCAGCGCACGGCACUACGUAUAGAACGGUAACGGAUAACAAAUUACUUUCGGAUAAUUUCGGUUACGGAUAUCAAUUUUUUAAGGAAUUCCAAAAGUAAAAUACAAAUAGGUCCCUAUAAUCGUAAUAGAGGAGCUCGGUGGCGCAGCGGUAAAACGCGCUCGAUCUGCGAUUGUUGAAGUUAAGCAACUUUCGCAAAGGCCGAACUCAUAGGACGGGUGACCACAAAAAAAAGUUUUCAUCUCGAACUCCUCCGUGCUUCGGAAGGCACGUUAAGCCGUUGGUCCCGGCUGCAUUAGCAGUCGUUAAUAACCACCAAUCCGCAUUGGGCCCGCGUGGUGGUUUAAGGCCCGAUCUCCCUAUCCAUCCAUAGGGAAGGCCCGUGCCCCAGCAGUGGGGACGUUAAUGAGGUGGUGAUGAUGACCUAUAAUCGUAGCUGGGCACCGUUAAGCAAAUAGUUAAUCCGCUACAAAAAAGUUAACUUCGUUAAACGUUAAAGCGUUACAUUUCGAAAGAAUUAACGCAAGUUAACGUUAAUCCGUUAAGAGGUAUGUGUUAAAUUGCGUUUUUAGUGCGUUUCGUUAGUGAACUUAUGUUGGUAUAGGUUCUGGAAGUUAACAGGUUAGAAAUAUUAUUAUUAUUUGUAUGUCGUUUCCUUUCUGUCUUUCGAAUUUUCUACUGCUUCUUGUCGUAAUGCAUCUUCUACCUUUUUUUUUCAUGCACUUUUUUACUGCAUCCACUCAACUGCUGUCAUACGUUUAGAUUCAUACUUGUCUGCACCUGUAUUUCGCGCCGCGCUGUGGUGCCGUGUGGUAAAUAGUAGGCAUUGGAUUAACGAGUAACAGACUUCUGCAUAUUAACGGAAGUUAACGUGCCCGUUAACAUUUUUAAAAGUUAACUUAAAAGUUAAUCCGUUAAUCAAAAUGUUAACUUCGUCGAGGAGCUCGGUGGCGCAGCGGUAAACGCGCUCGGCCUGCGAUUGUUGAAGUUAAGCAACUUUCGCAAAGGCCGGUCAUAGGAUGGGUGACCACAAAAAAUAAGUUUUCAUCUCGAGCUCCUCCGUGCUUCGGAAGGCACGUUAAGCCGUUGGUCCCGGCUGCAUUAGCAGUCGUUAAUAACCACCAAUCCGCACUGGGCCCGCGUGGUGGUUUAAGGCCCGAUCUCCCUAUCCAUCCAUGGGAAGGCCCGUGCCCCAGCAGUGGGGACGUUAAUGGGCUGGUGAUGAUGAACGAGUUAAUGCCCAGCUAUGCCUAUAAUAAAGUGGUUUUAUUUAUAACGACAAGUUAUAUAAUGUUAUAACGACAAAAUAUGAAAAAAAAAAACAAUUAAAAAAAAGUGUCGGCACUAGCAGCGGCCACCCGAUCAAAACAACUUGUCAUAACGUGUCUCAAUUAGGCUCCGCCCGGGCGCCCCUAUCCGAUAUUAUCCGAAACUUUUAUUUCGGAUUCGGUUACGGAUAUAUUUUUAUAUCGGAUAUCCGAUAGUUACGGUUACGGAGCUCCCUAACAUCCCUGGUUUUUGUACAGAGCGUAUAGAGUGUAGGUACCCCUGAUCCUUGUGAAUAUAACCUUUUUAGAUAAAUAUGUAUGAAUUAUUCUGUAUCGAAUUUGAUUGUUUUUCACAAAUUAUUGUGUUCAUUCCAUUGAAUAAAUUGUAUACACAAU
This 4269-nucleotide unclassified non-coding RNA is filed under the name Pectinophora gossypiella (pink bollworm). RNAcentral's name for it is "zinc finger protein 391-like". The record is from RNAcentral. Lineage: Eukaryota; Metazoa; Arthropoda; Insecta; Lepidoptera; Gelechiidae.